GUUGUUUUUCUGAAAAUUAAUUAAAGAACUGUUUAUGCUAAGCUGUUUAGACUUUAUCAGCUAUCUGUUUAGUUUUGAGCUUUUCUUUAAUGCACUUUUCAGUUAACAAGUCAACAUCAAUUUCUUUUGCUGUAAAAAAGCUUGAGGAAGGUGGCUUGAGAUUCGUCUUAAGUGUUUAUAGCCUCUUGCCUAUGCAGUCGGAGAGAUUGAGGUCUGCAGCGUAGAUCCUUCGGGGCUAAAUGCAUUUGUGCUAAGUUAUAGCAUUUUAUAGACAACUUGUUGACUAUGAUUUGUCUUGUAGCUUACUCGCUUAUGUUAUUUUACCUAC
RNAcentral lists this ribosomal RNA (328 nucleotides) under uncultured Neocallimastigales. RNAcentral describes it as "partial large subunit ribosomal RNA". Lineage: Eukaryota; Fungi; Neocallimastigomycota; Neocallimastigomycetes; Neocallimastigales. The record is from RNAcentral.